Molecule: small RNA, 29 nt
Filed under: Bombyx mori (domestic silkworm)
Lineage: Eukaryota; Metazoa; Arthropoda; Insecta; Lepidoptera; Bombycidae
Description: ovarian small RNA-19068
Source: RNAcentral
UAACUUGAUGUAAAAAACAUAAGCCUAAC